Molecule: long non-coding RNA, 548 nt
Filed under: Homo sapiens (human)
Lineage: Eukaryota; Metazoa; Chordata; Mammalia; Primates; Hominidae
Description: non-protein coding CFLAR-AS1:20
Source: RNAcentral
ACGACCAAAGCAAAGGACAGCAGAACUGACUGACACAGCUCAGAAAAUAUCCAAAGCUCUGUAUGCUCUGGAAAGGAAGACAAGAAAUGCUAAAGACUCUGGAUAUUGCUCUGUUUCUAUAAGGUCCCACCCAUAUACCAUCUCUUCUUUUGGAUUUCCUUUGGCAGGGUUCCCUUGUAUGGAAGUUCUCAGGAGAACAACACUCUCAGAGUCCCACUGUCUCAAAGAAUUCUUAAUGGACAGCUAUACUUGGCCCCAAGGUUUCAACCUCACACUGAAGAAAGUGACAUAAGAAAACACAAGUCCCAGUGCUAUCAGGGGCUAUCUGGAAAAGCUGCUUAAACAGCAAGUGAAAGAAGGCUCUCCCCUACCCCGUUCUAGAUGACAGGUCCUAUGUAAGAUACACAUACCACAUGCUGUCAACCCAUCUGAGACACUCAGCUUUCAAAUGACAGUUCUUCUCUGAAGCUAACCUAGCCAAAAGAGUGAAAUACACUAUCUGUUAAGCUGUGUCAGUAGCUAAGUCUGUGUGUCUAAAUUAAAAACAU